AACGCUUCGUUGUUGAUGUCGAUGCUGCGCAAUGACAACAAUGCAUAUUCUUGUAGAUGUGUUAUUUGCCACGAAUUGCAGACGCUUAGAGUGGUGAGAUUUUGAACGCAUAGCGCCGUUGGGUUUUCCCUUCGGCACAUCUGGUUCAGGGUUG
This 154-nucleotide ribosomal RNA is filed under the name Dictyocaulus viviparus (bovine lungworm). RNAcentral describes it as "5.8S ribosomal RNA". It matches the Rfam family "5.8S ribosomal RNA". From Rfam's summary of the family: 5.8S ribosomal RNA (5.8S rRNA) is a component of the large subunit of the eukaryotic ribosome. It is transcribed by RNA polymerase I as part of the 45S precursor that also contains 18S and 28S rRNA. Lineage: Eukaryota; Metazoa; Nematoda; Chromadorea; Rhabditida; Metastrongylidae. The record is from Rfam by way of RNAcentral.